GAGCUAAUUUCGUAUUGGUAGUUUUGUUUAUACCGUCGGUUGUGUUGGCGUCACAUUUUGUAUGCGAAAGCAAGCGCAGCACGUAGUUAACAAAUUUAAAUCAAAUAGCCAAAUUGCUUAGACAAUAUCUAUAGAAAAUUUCUUUUAACUUAUUUACAUGCAUAUGUAUGUACAAUAUAUAUGUAUCUAUGUGUCUCGGUGUGUGUCUGUGUCUACAUUAAAAGCACAUUUCGUCUUUGACUCUCCGGCCCGGAGCAUUGGGCGGCGUGUGUAAGAAAAGCGUUCAAGAAAAAAUGCCGAAAUAGUAUCCAAUCAGAAACCGCAUCCCAAUUAGAAUCAUCUGUUAAGCUACAUGAAAACUUACACAUUUGCCAGCGCGUGCCGCCUACUGGCGUAGGGCAAAGCAAAAGUGUACAAAAACAAAAUUACACAAAAAGUUUAGCAAAAGAAAUUAAAUUGAAUUCGCAACAGCAGCGGCGGCGGCGUCGGCGACGGCAGCAGAAGCGCGAAAAACUAAAUUAUCAUUGCAUAUAUGCAUACAUAUACAUAUAUAGUUGUGCAUAGAUAUGUAUAUAAAAUAACUGUGUGCUGCGUUCGUUUUUUGUGGUAUGAAGCUGCAACGCCAGCGCAACUGUUGCACCCAACUAAAUCGGCGACAAUACGCCCAACAAGAAUAACAAAAACAACAACAACAACGAGCAAGCAAAAGCAGCGGCAGCAGCAUCAGCAGCAGUCGCAGCGAGUGACGUCCAGAGAUUGCGCGCCUUUUUUGUUGUAACGCGCGUCUCUGCAUAAUAAAUGAAAGGAAAACAACAAUAAUAGCUAAACACAUGUUGAUGUUGUUCAAAUUUCAAUUUGGUUAAAGCAAAGCAAAAGGCGCGCCCCGAUAAGAUACAGUUAAACGGAAGAGCAACAAGAACAACAACAACACCAGCGGCGACAGCAGCAGCAGCAGCAGCAGCAGCAGCGGCAGCAGCAGCAGCAGCAGCGGCAGCAGCGGCUACACCUGCAAACGCGAGAAGAAGAAAGAAAUGCUUACAGCAAAAUAAGAAGAAGCAUAACUAGAAUAGUGCUGCGGCGGCGACAGUCGCCAAAGAAUAUGCGACUGUCACACACAUAUGUGUGUGUGUGUGUGUGUGCUCGCGAUUGUUACAUACCAACACCUGCAGCGUGUAAAUGAAAGCAAAACAAAAGCGAAAACAACAACAGCCCACAACCAAAAACUCACAAUGUUAUACAUGCUUGUAAAGUGGCAUUAAAUUGCAACAAUAACAAAAUUCGACAACAGCAGCAACCAACAACAACACAUGGCAACAGCGCCCAUCAAGUGUCAAUAAAACAACAACAACAACAACAAA
Long non-coding RNA from Drosophila montana, 1358 nucleotides. RefSeq lists it as uncharacterized. The transcript has 2 exons. NCBI's taxonomy places the organism in Eukaryota, Metazoa, Arthropoda, Insecta, Diptera, Drosophilidae. The record is from RefSeq and is a predicted model, not a curated record.